UUAAAACAUCUCUUUGAAGCUGGGCCUUGCGCCUAAACCUGCAUAUUCCUACAACUUCUCAGAGUCCUUCGGGAUAUGACUGAGGAGAUAAACCAUGCAGGAAACAAUU
This 109-nucleotide small nucleolar RNA is filed under the name Octodon degus (degu). RNAcentral's name for it is "Small nucleolar RNA SNORA73 family (ENSODEG00000022746.1)". The record is from RNAcentral. Lineage: Eukaryota; Metazoa; Chordata; Mammalia; Rodentia; Octodontidae.